UGUCCAAACACUUCUUGAACUCCAUCAGGCUUGGUGCUGUGACCACUUCCCUGGGGAGCCUGUUCCAGUGCCUGACAACCAAUUGGUGAAGAACCUUCUCCUAAUAUCCACCCUGAACCUAAUCUGUCACAGAUUCAUGCCAUUUGCUUGGUACCAGAAUGGAGCCCUGUGGAACCCCACUAGUGACCGUCCACCAGCCUGAUGUAACCCCAUUUACUCUAACUCUUUGAGACUGACCCGUCAGCCAGUUGUUCACCACUCAUACUAUGUAUUUACCUAGCUGUAUGCUAGACAUUUUGCCCAGAAGGAUACUGUGAGAAGCUUUACUGAAAUCCAAAAACAUCAACUGCCUUCCUUUGGUCAACUAGGUGGGUGACCUUGUCAUAAAAGGAAAUUAAGUUCGUUAAGCAGAUCCUUCCCCUCAUGAACCCAUGUUUUCUGUGACCAACAACUGUAUUGUCUUUCAGGUGUUUUUCAGCAACUCCCAGAAAAAUCUUUGCUAUAAUUUUACCAGGCACUGAAAUGAGACUGUUAUAAAUGAAGAUACAAUUCAAUCUGAAUUUAGUAAUAUUUAUAAAAGGCAAGUAAACAGCGCUGGGUGUGCAGAGAGUCUACGCUCUACCAACAUGCACACACAACCAUCGAACUUUCUAAAUAUAUAGAACAUUGCUUUUACAUAUUCAUAAGAAACCCGAGUACGCUUAUACAAAUGUACAAUCAGAAAAGGUAUCAAAUGAAACAUAAACAUGGCAAAGUUUUCCGAAUUCUGGCAAGUGUUUAACAAACAAUCCUUUAAGUCUGUUACUAUUGAUGUCCAUGACUAGGGAGCAUAGUUGGAGUUGGUAAUCCUGGUUGAAGUGCUCCCAUAUCUUCCACGACUUCAUUAAUUUUUCUCAGAUCAUAUAACAAGUCUCCAUUUUCCAUUCCUUUUCUUGAUUACAAACACCGGAUAAGUCCAGGGCUAGUCAUGGGUACAAUAUGUCUCGCUUUAAGUUGUUAAGCAACUCGGCCUUCGGGCCUUAUGUAUCCUAUUCCUCCCGGAUCUAAGGGAAACAGAUCCGGCUCCUUUUCAGGGCCUAUAGGGCCUGGAUCAAAAGGAACAUCCAGGGCUAGUCAUGGGUACAAUAUGUCUCGCUUUAAGUUGAUAAGCAACUCGACCUCCUGGCCUUAUGUAUCCUAUUCCUCCCGGAUCUAAGGGAAACAGAUCCAGCUCCUUUUCAGGGCCUAUAGGGCCUGGAUCAAAAGGAACGUCCAGGUCACCAGGGGGCAUAACAGCAAAGGCCUGCGAUGGCAGUAGCGGCGGGGGAGGGCCGAUGGUGUAGCAGAAGGAUCGGUGGGCGAGCCCGCAGCUCCUUCACUGUCUGGCAAACCACACGUUUCUGAUUGUGGUCGCACAUGGCUCUUUAAGGCCUCAGAGACUGCUCGCCAGGGGCCAAGCAAUCCCACCGCAACCCCGUCGUCUCUAGUAGCAGAGUCCACACCUUGACCUCAAUUUGGUCCCAUGUUUCAGGAUCAUAAACUGUCUGAUUGUUAGUAAAGGAAUAAGCUGUAAGGUUACCAGGACAGUCUUUGUUUCUAAGGACGUAUGAUUCCCCAUAAUGCGUAACUGCCUACCUUCAGCCAGCGAGGGGCAGUUGUUGUGCGCGGGUCCGCUUCUCUCAGCUGGAGCUUCCUUCCAGCUCCGGUGCUCCUAUUUCCAGCAACCUUCUAUACGAGCUUCUUUGAGCGGUUUGCUGAGUUUGACCGAACCUAUCUUCAUGAGGCGAUCAAUGUCCCUGUUCCUGUCCUGGUCCCUGUUCUGCUAGCCUGUCCCUGCUGUUCAUGUCCCUGUUUGUUUUCUUCAGGUCCCUGUUCGGGUGCCAUUUGUGGUGUAAUGACCACACGGACACCAGGGUUCUUUUAGGAUCAGUAACUGCUACUACUUUAUUGAUGACAGAACUUCAUCAUAUCGUGUUGCAUCCCAUAUUGAGGACAGGCUCCCUUCUUAUACUAUUCGCCCCACAGCAGUCCUGUUCCACUAACUCUUCAUUGGUCAAACAACUUUGCCCGGCAACCAGCAAACCCCCAGCAACUUCCAUGCCUUAACGGCUGGAGAACAAGCAACCCAAGACGGCAUGGCGUCUCCUGAAUCACCCUUCUUUGUUCCCUCUAAACUCUUUACAUUCCUGAUGGCCUCAUCGUUAGGAGUCUGAUGGGGUUUGUCGACCCCCAUGGCCACACUCCCACAUCUCCCCCUUCUUUAUUAACAUCAACCAUCUUCUUGACAGGAAUUAUUACUCCAUAUAUCACACUGCCUUUAAAAAUCUGUGAACUUUAUGCUCUGCUACUCUGAUUUUGUAAUGUAUGGUAAAUCUAAACUAAAAACUGAGGAAGUUUUUCUUGGUUAGACAGCCCAUUGCCCCAGCCUUAAUCAAACAUCCUCCUUCCCAGCAAAUGCUUGAUCUUUAUACCUCACAGCAAGAAAAACCUGUCUUGUGUUUGCCUGUGAAGGAUCUUUUGAUGAAUACUGUUUAUUGAUAUGGCUUCUUGGGAAGGACAAAUAAGUUUGGUUUUCUGAAACUACAGUGUAUUGCCCAUAGCAGAGGAUUUUUACCCUGUUCAUUUGUUAGAGGAAAAAAAGGAUUAACUACCAAAAAAUACAGGUAUUCUACUGUGUAGAAUACUACAACUAAUUCAACUAAUACACAUUUUUCCAGUGAACAUUUCAAGACUUAGAGUCAUUAACGAGAUGCAUUUUUGCCAGUCGGACUCAGAUACGCUAUGAAUAGAUGCAUCUUUCACACAGUUCUGAGUGUACUUAUCCAAAACUGCAGCUGCCUAAAUCCCUCAGUACCAAGUUGGCCAGUCAAGUGUGUUUUUGCAUCAUUUAGCAGUGGUAGUGCCAGUACCGUGGGUGUUGAAGAGUUGCAUAAUUUAUUAAAUAAGUCAGUUCAAACACAGCUCCUCCAGCUGUUUGAGGGAACGCUCUCAAAAUCUUCACAGAAUGAAAGAUCUGUGAUCUAUAAGACUUGGUCUACAAUACAAGCACUGGUGGUAAAAUUAACUCCUGUGCAGCAGAUGGCUCAGGACAAAGACCAGGCAUACACUGCAUCCACAGAGAACAGUCCCUGCAGUUCUUUCCACUUCGUAAGUUAAUGUUAAAAUAAGUAUUUUGAAUAAACAGAAGGGAAAACAAACAAACAAACAAAGACAAUGGUGGGAGGGAAAUGGAGUGGUAACCUUACUUAUGCUGAAGAGGUACACAAAGUUAUUCAUUGAUUAGGUUGCCAUUUCAUUUAAGGUUAUUAUAUAUGUUUGCAAAAUUAUAUAGUUAGCAAGGAAUUUACCUGCAUUCAACAGGCACAGGCCAAGUGAGAUAGCUUACAAAUGCAAUUUUCAGUGCAUACAAAACCUGAAUCCAUAAAACAAACACUAGUAUCACUGCAGCACAUACAAAUGUUAAAUUAACAGCAGGACUACCACAGUGGUUGUUUCAUUUCAUAAAAUUAACACUGAAGUCUUAGAUUACACUUAGCUUUAAGGCAUUGUGGAAAAAACUUUUUAUCCAACUUUUAGAGGAAAAAAAAUCAAUCAGUUCACAUACCAGAAUGUUUUUAUGAAAUUGUAAUCUGAAAAUCUGUAAGUACAAACUCCAACCAAGAAAGCACACAAAUUGGUUCACAAGCUAUACACACAGUCCAAACAGCAUACAAAUCUUAACCAACCUAAGUACAGCACUUGAAAUUUAACGACUUAUGUGCAAAUAUCUUUCAAUAAUUUAAAGAAAAACACACAAAUACAUCCAUUCGCCUCACACUUUGAUAUCCUACAUGUUUAUAACAGAAAUGUUUAAAUUUACAGCCUAAGUAGGAAAGUAUGUCAAACCUAUUGUAAAAUAAAAGGAAACUGGAUUGUUUGAGACAAGAAGAGAGUGUCUAUGGCAAA
This is a long non-coding RNA of Cygnus olor (mute swan), 3924 nucleotides long. RefSeq lists it as uncharacterized. The record is from RefSeq and is a predicted model, not a curated record. The transcript has 2 exons. NCBI's taxonomy places the organism in Eukaryota, Metazoa, Chordata, Aves, Anseriformes, Anatidae.